RNAcentral lists this ribosomal RNA (440 nucleotides) under uncultured bacterium. Its description in RNAcentral is "partial 16S ribosomal RNA". It matches the Rfam family "Bacterial small subunit ribosomal RNA", at positions 338 to 795 of the family's 1533-position model. The record is from RNAcentral.
CCUACGGGAGGCUGCAGUGGGGAAUAUUGCACAAUGGGGGAAACCCUGAUGCAGCAACGCCGCGUGAGUGAUGACGGCCUUCGGGUUGUAAAGCUCUGUCUUCAGGGACGAUACUGACGGUUUCUGAGGAGGAAGCCACGGCUAACUACGUGCCAGCAGCCGCGGUAAUACGUAGGCGGCCAGCGUUGACCGGAUGUACUGGGCGUAAAGGGAGCGUAGGCGGACUUUUAAGUGGGAUGUGAAAUACUCGGGCUGAACUUGGGUGCUGCAUUUCAAACUGGAAGUCUAGAGUGCAGGAGAGGAGGAUGGAAUUCCUGGUGUAGCGGUGAAAUGCGUAGAGAUUAGGAAGAACACCGGUGGCGAAGGCGAUUCUCUGGACUGUAACUGACGCUGAGGCUCGAAAGCGUGGGGAGCAAACAGGAUUAGAUACCCGAGUAGUC